AUUGAACGCUGGCGGCAGGCCUAACACAUGCAAGUCGAGCGGAUGAAGGGGGCUUGCUCCCGGAUUCAGCGGCGGACGGGUGAGUAAGGCCUAGGAAUCUGCCUGGCAUUGGGGGCUAACGUCCGUAAACGGGCGCUAAUACCGCAUACGUCCUGAGGGAGAAAGUGGGGGAUCUUCGGUCCUCACGCUAUCUGAUGAGCCUAGGUCGGAUUAGCUAGCUGGUGGGGUAAAGGCCUACCAAGGCGACGAUCCGUAACUGGGCUGAGAGGAUGAUCAGUCACACUGGAACUGAGACACGGUCCAGACUCCUACGGGAGGCAGCAGUGGGGAAUGUUGGACAAUGGGCGAAAGCCUGAUCCAGCCAUGCCGCGUGUGUGAAGAAGGUCUUCGGAUUGUAAAGCACUUUUAGUUGGGAGGAAGGGCAGUGAGUUAAUACCUUGCUGUUUUGACGUUACCGAAAGAAUAAGCACCGGCUAACUUCGUG
Molecule: ribosomal RNA, 484 nt
Filed under: uncultured bacterium
Lineage: Bacteria
Description: partial 16S ribosomal RNA
Rfam family: Bacterial small subunit ribosomal RNA
Source: RNAcentral